This 1369-nucleotide ribosomal RNA is filed under the name Escherichia coli. Its description in RNAcentral is "partial 23S ribosomal RNA". It matches the Rfam family "Bacterial large subunit ribosomal RNA", at positions 375 to 1751 of the family's 2925-position model. The record is from RNAcentral. Lineage: Bacteria; Pseudomonadati; Pseudomonadota; Gammaproteobacteria; Enterobacterales; Enterobacteriaceae.
GUACACAAAAAUGCACAUACUGUGAGCUCGAUGAGUAGGGCGGGACACGUGGUAUCCUGUCUGAAUAUGGGGGGACCAUCCUCCAAGGCUAAAUACUCCUGACUGACCGAUAGUGAACCAGUACCGUGAGGGAAAGGCGAAAAGAACCCCGGCGAGGGGAGUGAAAAAGAACCUGAAACCGUGUACGUACAAGCAGUGGGAGCCUCUUAAUGGGGUGACUGCGUACCUUUUGUAUAAUGGGUCAGCGACUUAUAUUCUGUAGCAAGGUUAACCGAAUAGGGGAGCCGAAGGGAAACCGAGUCUUAACUGGGCGUUAAGUUGCAGGGUAUAGACCCGAAACCCGGUGAUCUAGCCAUGGGCAGGUUGAAGGUUGGGUAACACUAACUGGAGGACCGAACCGACUAAUGUUGAAAAAUUAGCGGAUGACUUGUGGCUGGGGGUGAAAGGCCAAUCAAACCGGGAGAUAGCUGGUUCUCCCCGAAAGCUAUUUAGGUAGCGCCUCGUGAAUUCAUCUCCGGGGGUAGAGCACUGUUUCGGCAAGGGGGUCAUCCCGACUUACCAACCCGAUGCAAACUGCGAAUACCGGAGAAUGUUAUCACGGGAGACACACGGCGGGUGCUAACGUCCGUCGUGAAGAGGGAAACAACCCAGACCGCCAGCUAAGGUCCCAAAGUCAUGGUUAAGUGGGAAACGAUGUGGGAAGGCCCAGACAGCCAGGAUGUUGGCUUAGAAGCAGCCAUCAUUUAAAGAAAGCGUAAUAGCUCACUGGUCGAGUCGGCCUGCGCGGAAGAUGUAACGGGGCUAAACCAUGCACCGAAGCUGCGGCAGCGACACUAUGUGUUGUUGGGUAGGGGAGCGUUCUGUAAGCCUGCGAAGGUGUACUGUGAGGUAUGCUGGAGGUAUCAGAAGUGCGAAUGCUGACAUAAGUAACGAUAAAGCGGGUGAAAAGCCCGCUCGCCGGAAGACCAAGGGUUCCUGUCCAACGUUAAUCGGGGCAGGGUGAGUCGACCCCUAAGGCGAGGCCGAAAGGCGUAGUCGAUGGGAAACAGGUUAAUAUUCCUGUACUUGGUGUUACUGCGAAGGGGGGACGGAGAAGGCUAUGUUGGCCGGGCGACGGUUGUCCCGGUUUAAGCGUGUAGGCUGGUUUUCCAGGCAAAUCCGGAAAAUCAAGGCUGAGGCGUGAUGACGAGGCACUACGGUGCUGAAGCAACAAAUGCCCUGCUUCCAGGAAAAGCCUCUAAGCAUCAGGUAACAUCAAAUCGUACCCCAAACCGACACAGGUGGUCAGGUAGAGAAUACCAAGGCGCUUGAGAGAACUCGGGUGAAGGAACUAGGCAAAAUGGUGCCGUAACUUCGGGAGAAGGCACGC